UACGGGGGGGGCAAGCGUUGUUCGGAAUUACUGGGCGUAAAGGGCUCGUAGGCGGCCAACUAAGUCAGACGUGAAAUCCCUCGGCUUAACCGGGGAACUGCGUCUGAUACUGGAUGGCUUGAAUCCGGGAGAGGGAUGCGGAAUUCCAGGUGUAGCGGUGAAAUGCGUAGAUAUCUGGAGGAACACCGGUGGCGAAGGCGGCAUCCUGGACCGGCAUUGACGCUGAGGCACGAAAGCGUGGGGAGCAAACAGG
This 253-nucleotide ribosomal RNA is filed under the name uncultured bacterium. RNAcentral's name for it is "partial 16S ribosomal RNA". It matches the Rfam family "Bacterial small subunit ribosomal RNA", at positions 524 to 776 of the family's 1533-position model. The record is from RNAcentral.